Long non-coding RNA from Lutra lutra (Eurasian river otter), 2979 nucleotides. RefSeq lists it as uncharacterized. The transcript has 3 exons. The record is from RefSeq and is a predicted model, not a curated record. Lineage: Eukaryota; Metazoa; Chordata; Mammalia; Carnivora; Mustelidae.
ACAGGGGGUCAAGUGUGCAGCCCAUUCCCUGACCAGUGCACGGAGGCGUGUGACCAAGCCUUUCCCCAGUCCUGAGGCUGGUCGUUCAGAAGCAGUAGCGGCUGUUCUGGUCCGAGAUACUGAGGGGCAAAGCCUGGCUGUGCCCAACCCUGGGCAAGUUCCUCAAACCUGUCGGAACCUGUUCCCGCAUCUCUAAAACGGGGAGGACAAAGCGCGCCCUGCCGGGGAGCCGGAGGAUAGCCGACGCCUUCUGGGGAGCUUGGGCACUCGUGCAGUGAGCGAAACCGAGCUGCAUCUCCUCAGAUGAGGUCGACCCCGGACUUCCUGCUGGAAUGUUCUCCCGUGCCUCAGGUCUGCAGUGCGUGGAGUGGUGACAAAGACUGAGAAGGCGGGAAAUCACCGGACCCGAGGCCCCCACGGCCGCCUGUUAACCCGGUCGCCGCUUCCGGCGCGGGGAAGCGCGAGUUCAGGGCCUCGGGGUCCCGGGAGCCGGGCUGAUACCAGAAGCCAAGGCAGCCCCGCUGAAAACUGCUGCUCUGGCGGGGAGGCGCGCGCCGACUGCAGCCCCUUCCCUCCGACCCUUCUGUCCUGUCCCGGCGGGAGCCUCCAGCACCUCGUACCGGGAACACAGAGCUUCGCAGCCCCCUACUCCGGAACGCAGUCCCAGGAAGCGUCGGACCGGUGAGAGGACAGGCAGUUUGGGCUGCUCUCGCGAGAAGAUCUUCGAGGGCGCGGCGCCAGCUGCGUUUCACCACGUCGGGCGGAGCCGCGGGGCGGAAGGAGGAAAACCCUUGCGGGCCAGAGGCCACGUGACCGAGCCUCGCGGCGAGGAUUGGUCUGUAGCUUCCGGGCCACGCCUCGAGGGCCGGGCCUUCGCUCUCUUGAGUGCGGCCGCUGGCGGGGAAGCGUCCUCACGCGAGCUUGGGUGGGGUCCCCCUGGGCGUGUCGCUGUUAGGUCACAGCCGGCCUCUGAGGUGCUCGUUCUCCGGCCUCCGGCAGCGGGUCACCUUAACUGUGCUGAACUUCGCGCGCUGCCGGCCUCUGUUCUUUGGUCCCCAGCAGCAUGCAGGGUCGCUCUCCGGAGUGGGGCUUUCCCGGGAAAGCUCCAGGGCCCCGGAGGUGCUCUAGGGAGGCAAGCCUGCCACGCAGGGUCACGUCCUCGCUGUCCCCACUGUCGCGGUGCUUGAGGCGGGUUCUCGCCGCCCCGAGGGCACCCUCUCAGGAAAGCCCUUGCAGAGGCCGUCUUCUCCCCGCAGUAUCUGAACUCAGCCCGAGUCGCCUCUCACUGUCGUUCCACCCUGGGGACCCAUCCUGGGAACACAGAUCGGCACCCAAGACCCCUCCCCGCUCCCGGCCCCGCCUCCGGGUUCCCUCAGGUGCUUCUGCUGUGAAACCUCUACAGCGACGCACGGUUGCAGAUGUGAUUACGCCCCUUCCUGGCAGAAGGUGGCGGGCGGCUGCUGGCCUCCUUCCCGCGUCCGCCAGGUCGCAGAUGUGACUUCUGAGUGAAUUCACAGCGGAGCCUGCUCCGGAUCCCCCAAACCCUGCCUGAAUGGCUCCCGCGUGUCCGUCGUCCACAUCUUCCUCCGGCUCUUUGUAGCAUGAUGUGAACGCGGCUCACGGACACCGGAGAAAAAGCCUUACAGGCUUUUGACUUCUAGGUGACUGCAUCAGAAAUUCUCCAAGACAUUAACUGCAGAAAUAUUAGGAAGAGAACCUGACUAAGUGAUGGGAUAUUUCUCUUUUCUCCUUGCUCUUCUCGGUAAGAACUACACUGAAUUAGCACAGUAAUAAAGUGUUCUGCACUUGUGUUUGUAAGUGUUUGUGUGGGAGAAGAAUGUUGGUAAUUUACCAAGCCCACUGUCAAAAAGAAGCAGUAUAGUAUAAUUUCUGCCAUAGUAUAAUAAUAAUUUUAGUUCGGUAGGUUAAGCCAACUGCUGAUUAUUAAACAACAGUGAGCCCUGCCUUACACUCAAGCUGAAAGUCCCUUCAAUAAACAGUUGUACUUCUUCUGUUACCCAAAUAUUGGAGGGACAGUGAGGUUCACCUCCAGCUAUGCAAAAAUAAAUGGAAGUGUGCAUUUUCUUAAUGUCUAAAAGAAGACAUUCUAUGUGUGUGCUCCUAAUUCUACUCUCACUGAAGUAGUUGAUAAAAUUCACAGAUUAAGUAUCGAAUUAAAUAAUAAAUGCUAUUUAUUGAGUGUUUAUUGCCUGCCUGGCACAACAUACCUUAUGUGCACCCACUGUUCAAUCCAUACAGCAGCCCUGCUAUGAUGUCCACCUUGCCUAUGAGUGAACUGGGGCAAAGAAAGGUUAAGUAACCUUCCUGGAAAACAGGUGUUUUGUUAUGUGUUAGGUGUGGUGUUAUGGACUGAAUUGUGUGCCCCUACAAUUCAUAUGUUGGAGCCCUAACCCCCCAAUGUGUGACUGUAUUUGGACUUUAGGGACUUCAGAGGUGUAAUUAAGGCUAAAUGAAGUCAUAAGGGUAGUGCCCUAAUCCAAUAGGACUGGUGUUCGGAUAAGAGGAAGAGACACCAGAGAGCUUUCUCUCCUGCAGAUACACACGGAAAAGGCCACGCCAGGAUGCCACAAGAAGGUGGCUGUGUACAAGCCAGGAUGAAAGACCCUCUUAAGGUGUCCUCCUUUUAUUCCAUAAAACUCACUUUCCUUUUAAAGUCACCCGAGCUGCUUCUGGAAGGGAGGAGAGUGAUGGUAGCAGAUUCUCUCAUAGGAUCUGAAUAAAUCAUUUCUAAAAAGAACUCCCUUCUUUUUAGUGCUGCUAAAGCGCUGCUGCCCUUUUGACACUAUCCACCACAAACUUGUGAGGUAAAAUUAAAAAUUUCUUUGCACUUCUUCUUCAUCUUAGAAUAUUCCCACCAAAGUAGUAUGAUCAAAGUACUGUGUUCAGAAGUUACUUGAAUUCAUUCUUUUUUCUAUGUGGCUAUGUCAUCUAUUUUAGGUCUAGUUAGGUUCAUUUGUU